RNAcentral lists this transfer RNA (353 nucleotides) under Oxalis acetosella (European wood-sorrel). Its description in RNAcentral is "partial trnF". The record is from RNAcentral. Lineage: Eukaryota; Viridiplantae; Streptophyta; Magnoliopsida; Oxalidales; Oxalidaceae.
AAAAAGGCCCCUUUGACUCCCUAAUUAUUUUCUUUUUUUCUCUCUUUUCAUUAACGAUUCAAAAUUCUUUAUCUUUCUCAUUCAUUCUACUCUUUCACAAACAAACGGAUCCAAGCGGAAAAUUUUUGUCUUAUUCUUACCACACCACAAGCUUUGUGAUACACAUACAAAUGGAUAUCUUUGAGCAUGGCUAUCUUUGAGCAAGGAAUCCCCAUUUGAAUGAUUUACAAUCCAUAUCAUUACUCGUACUGAAACUUACAUUUUGAAGAUCAAAAAAAUGGGUAAAACUUUGUAGUACUUUUUUUUUCGUCUUUUUAAUUGACAUAGACCUAAGUCAUCUAAUAAAAUGAGGA